RNAcentral lists this ribosomal RNA (135 nucleotides) under uncultured bacterium. RNAcentral's name for it is "partial 16S ribosomal RNA". It matches the Rfam family "Bacterial small subunit ribosomal RNA", at positions 355 to 507 of the family's 1533-position model. The record is from RNAcentral.
UAAGGAAUUUUCGGCAAUGGGCGCAAGCCUGACCGAGCAACGCCGCGUGGUGGAUGACGGCCUUCGGGUUGUAAACACCUUUUGGGGGGGAAGACAUCGACGGUACCCUCCGAAUCAGGCUCGGCUAACUCCGUG